This 253-nucleotide ribosomal RNA is filed under the name uncultured bacterium. RNAcentral's name for it is "partial 16S ribosomal RNA". It matches the Rfam family "Bacterial small subunit ribosomal RNA", at positions 524 to 776 of the family's 1533-position model. The record is from RNAcentral.
UACAGAAGCCCCAAGCAUUACCCGGAAUCACUGGGCGUAAAGGGUGCGUAGGCGGCUAUGUUAGUCGGAUGUUAAAUCCCGGGGCUCAACCCCGGAAUCGCGUUCGAAACGGCAUAGCUAGGAGAAGUGAGAGGUGUGUGGAACUCAUGGUGUAGGGGUGAAAUCCGUUGAUAUCAUGGGGAACACCAAAUGCGAAGGCAACACACUGGCGCUCUCUCGACGCUGAGGCACGAAAGCGUGGGUAGCGAAUGGG